GCGCCACAGUUCACGUCACAAACAAACCUGGCUGACAGAGGAGCUUUGCAACAGCUCACCUGAACCUGCAAUCAGAGAUAAUGCGGUAUUUGAGCUUGUCAAAGAAACACAAACAGCUGGAUAACACGUUUUACAGCGUGUUUACUUUGUAAAAUCACACAGAAACAGUGUGGUGACAUUAAUAAUAGUCCUGUAUCUCUAAAAACACCUGUUGAGGCUGCACUCAUCAGUUCACCUGUGGAACCAGCUGAUUGAGCAGCUAGCUGCUAUCUGAUGGAUGGACGAGCUGCUGGACAAACAGGAGCACGAGAGUUUGAUGGGCCAUCCCAGACGCCGGUUGACAUUUUGUCCCCAGUCCGACCGGAUACCACAUAAAAAAUUCACUCAGCCGAGAAGCCAGGAGGAAUACCCUUCUCCCCCCCCACCCUCAGCGUGUGCCUCUCAGUGGGGAGUGCAAGAUUCUGAUGAACAUCUGCCACUGUGGCAUUGAGCGCAUCCUCACAACCUCAUUGAAGUAUCGUAAGGGACGGUGGAGAAAACUGAACAAUGCAUCACCAAUUCUACACUUCCUGCAAUCCAGGCUGGGAGGCGCUACAGGACUCUCCGUUUCCAGGACCAGUCCUAUUUAUUCCAUAUCGUAUUCUGUAUGUACUCUGUACAUUACGCUGCACUUAACUGCUUUUUGAACUUCUGGCUGGAUAAUCUGCAUUUUGUUGUCUUAUUACCUGUACUCUGUACAAUGACAAUAAAGUUGAAUGAAUCUAAAAAAUGUAUUUAGAAAAACAAA
Long non-coding RNA from Sebastes umbrosus (honeycomb rockfish), 787 nucleotides. RefSeq lists it as uncharacterized. The record is from RefSeq and is a predicted model, not a curated record. The transcript is spliced from 3 exons. Lineage: Eukaryota; Metazoa; Chordata; Actinopteri; Perciformes; Sebastidae.